RNAcentral lists this ribosomal RNA (403 nucleotides) under uncultured bacterium. RNAcentral's name for it is "partial 16S ribosomal RNA". It matches the Rfam family "Bacterial small subunit ribosomal RNA", at positions 28 to 526 of the family's 1533-position model. The record is from RNAcentral.
GACGAACGCUGGCGGCGUGCCUAAUACAUGCAAGUCGAACGCAGUGGGGACGGGUGAGUAACACGUGGGUAACCUCCCCUCAGAGGGGAUAACACUUGGAAACAGGUGCUAAACCGAUACUGAUGGAUGGCCCCUCGGUGCAUUAGCGAGGUGGUGCGGUAACGGCUCACCAAGGCCACGAUGCAUAGCCGACCGGGGAGGGUGAUCGGCAAAACUGGGACUGGGGCAAGGCCCAGAAUCCUAAGGGAGGCAGCAGGAGGGAAACUUCGGAAAUGGAGGAAAGUCUGACCGAGCAACGCCGGGUGAGUGAAGAAGGUUUUCGGAGCGUAAAACUCUGUUGUUAGAGAAGCGGUAUCUAACCAGAAAGCCACGGCUAACUACGUGCCAGCAGCCGCGGUAAUAC